This 492-nucleotide ribosomal RNA is filed under the name uncultured bacterium. RNAcentral describes it as "partial 16S ribosomal RNA". It matches the Rfam family "Bacterial small subunit ribosomal RNA", at positions 29 to 507 of the family's 1533-position model. The record is from RNAcentral.
AGUGAACGCUGGCGGUAGGCCUAACACAUGCAAGUCGAACGGCAGCACAGUAAGAGCUUGCUCUUACGGGUGGCGAGUGGCGGACGGGUGAGGAAUACAUCGGAAUCUACCUUUUCGUGGGGGAUAACGUAGGGAAACUUACGCUAAUACCGCAUACGACCUACGGGUGAAAGCAGGGGAUCUUCGGACCUUGCGCGAUUGAAUGAGCCGAUGUCGGAUUAGCUAGUUGGCGGGGUAAAGGCCCACCAAGGCGACGAUCCGUAGCUGGUCUGAGAGGAUGAUCAGCCACACUGGAACUGAGACACGGUCCAGACUCCUACGGGAGGCAGCAGUGUGGAAUAUGGGACAAUGGGCGCAAGCCUGAUCCAGCCAGACCGCGUGGGUGAAGAAGGCCUUCGGGUUGUAAAGCCCUUUUGUUGGGAAAGAAAAGCAGCAGGUUAAUACCCCGCUGUUCUGACGGUACCCAAAGAAUAAGCACCGGCUAACUUCGUG